CCUACGGGUGGCUGCAGUGGGGAAUAUUGGUCAAUGGAGGCAACUCUGACCCAGCAACGCCUCGUGAAUGAUGAAGGUCUUCGGAUUGUAAAGUUCUUUGUUGGGGGAUGAACACCAUGACGGUACCCCAAUAGCAAGACACGGCUAACUACGUGCCAGCAGUCGCGGUAAUACGUAGGGGGCAAGCGUUAUCCGGAAUGACUGGGCGUAAAGGGUGCGUAGGUGGUUUAGUAAGUUGGCGGUGUAAUUCCGGGGCUCAACCUCGGCGCUACCGCCAAAACUAUUAGACUAGUGUGCAGGAGUGGUAAGUGGAAUUCCUAGUGUAGCGGUGGAAUGCGUAGAUAUUAGGAGGAACAUCAGGGGCGAAGGCGACUUACUGGACUGUAACUGACACUGAGGCACGAAAGCGUGGGGAGCAAACAGGAUUAGAUACCCUUGUAGUC
Molecule: ribosomal RNA, 443 nt
Filed under: uncultured bacterium
Lineage: Bacteria
Description: partial 16S ribosomal RNA
Rfam family: Bacterial small subunit ribosomal RNA
Source: RNAcentral